UUCGCUCCUCUCCCGAAUCCGGGGAGCCUUUCAAAAUAAAACAUUUUACAUUCUCAUAACUCCAAUUUUCACGCUUACAGUAACUUAAAAAUGAAUCAAACGUGAACCGGAAGUGUUCUGGUUUGGAUGUUGAGCAGAAGUGGUUGCUGUCGACCCGUGCCAAAAGCUGGUUCAAUGGCCAUGGCGCUCCUGUUCUUGAUCGGUCAACGAACUCCCCUGACCUUUAACCCCAUAUAAAAUCUAUGAGCUGUGGUCAAGAUGAAGAUGAGAGAUCCAGACCCAAGAAGGCAGAUGACCUGAAGGCCGCUAUCAAAGCACCCUGGAUUUCCAUUGCAUCUACGCAGAACCACAUGCAAGAGGAGCCCAACCAGCACAGGAGAGCUCUGCAGGAAUGCUGCUAAGCUGCAGAUGUACCAGCCAAAUUACUCCAGAGGGGAAUUACCAGGCCAUAAAUCCAGACGUCAGAGAGGAUGGCUGCAGCUUAUUUCACGCAUUUUGAAGAAAUGCCAGACAGGAAGUGAGCUGCAGGGAGGAGAAAGCCGUGACCUUUCCCGGCCGCACCACCUUGGCCAAAGGAUUAAGAAAACAGCGGCCACUGACAAACGUCCAGGAAAUCAGAACCACAUGCUGGAAGGGAGGCAGGCUGAGAUGAAAAAAAGAGUAAAAUUGGAAUCGGCAGGUCACGAUUUUUAAAGAUUGGUAAUGGUGGAUCGGCCAGAAAGCUGCAAUCGGUGCACAGCUAAUAUUGAACAACUCGAACAAAGGCCGACGUUAUGGGCAAGGAAUCCUCAGAUGCUAACUCGGCAUUAUUCCCGCCUGCGGCUGCACCUGAGGGUGAUAUCUCGACUCCCAAGCUUAUUACACCUGCCCGUCAAGCUGCGGCUCGGAGCGAUCUGCCCGGCAACAAACAGGAUCUGAGCUGCCGUUUGGAAUGACCUGCUGCACAGACUUGCUGGCUGGGAGGAAGUUUUCUGUUAGCGGCUGUACUUUUGAGGGCAGAUCAGGACGAUGAGCUGCUGAGAAGAGCUGAGAGCACAUGAAGAGCCACCCCGGACCGAAGCCUCGCCGUUAUUGCCCCAUCAUCCUUGACAAAUAGAGCAGCAGCAGAGAGGCCCUCUUUUCCUGUUUUCCUGAGCAACUCCCUUGACCCGGCUGGCAGGCCCGCCUGCCCUGAAGAGCACUUUCCCUUUCCUCACGGCGCUCCGAGAAGAAAGGAGGGAGGCUGGGAUGGGAGGAGGCGGAGGAGUCGGUGGGGGUCUGACUUAAUCUGACCCAUUGCUCAGCCCUGCCUGCAGCGCGGAGGAGAGCGAGGUCACGCUGGACGAUGAGGGAUGGGCAGGGCGAAGCCUCCACUCCGAGCCAUUUGGCUGAAGACGGAUGUGUGAGGAAGUCCGUGCAGGUCCGCCUGGAGCGGGCAAACACCUGUUCUCCUCAACCUGUGAGGAGGCUGACGAGCCGUCAGUGUGUCAGACUCACUUUCAUUUUGGGCCAUAUCAAAAAUCUGAACGUUCUUAAAGGGCCAGAAUGUCUUGAUAAAAACCCAUUAAACUGUUAAAGUUUCAAUAAAUAGAUGUUCCUCCUGGA
This is a non-coding RNA of Poecilia reticulata (guppy), 1584 nucleotides long. Lineage: Eukaryota; Metazoa; Chordata; Actinopteri; Cyprinodontiformes; Poeciliidae. The record is from RefSeq and is a predicted model, not a curated record.